Molecule: long non-coding RNA, 388 nt
Organism: Cyprinus carpio (common carp)
Lineage: Eukaryota; Metazoa; Chordata; Actinopteri; Cypriniformes; Cyprinidae
Source: Ensembl
GUGUGUGGACCUGUGACUCUACAUGAAUGACUCAAGUGAAGAAACACGAGUGAAACCACUAUUUCAAAGGAAAAAGAAGAGGAAGAGGGGACAUCUUGAACAUUCGCAGUGGAACUUGAGUGCGCAUCUGCGCAAAGUCUCUCCAAAGUCACUUGGUAACUUGCGCGCACCACUGCAGCUCCAUUCUCAAGCAGUUUUGGGGGUCACGGCGAGGAGAGACUGUCGUCCGGCAGAAUGGCGUCAGACGUGGGCCGCAGCACUUGAGCAGGUGCAGAGCAGAUUUUGCAUGGAAAGGGUGAAAGUGUGCAGCUGCAGCAGUGAUCCUGAAGCUCAGACGUCACGAAGCCAUGACUUUGUUGCUGUGAGAAACACGCAUUGCCUGUACUGA